GAUGAACGCUGGCGGCGUGCCUAAUACAUGCCAGUCGAGCGAACAGACGAGAGUGCUUGCACUCUCUGACGUUAGCGGCGGACGGGUGAGUAACACGUGGGUAACCUACCUAUAAGACUGGGAUAACUUCGGGAAACCGGCGCUAAUACCGGAUAAUAUUUAGCUUCGCAUGAAGCAAUAGUGAAAGACGGUUCUGCUGUCACUUUUAGAUCGACCCGCGGUGUAUUAGCUAGUUGGUGAGGUAACGGCUCACCAAGGCAACGAUACAUAGCCGACCUGAGAGGGUGAUCGGCCACACUGUGACUGAGACACGGCCCAGACUCCUACGGGAGGCAGCAGUAGGGAAUCUUCCGCGAUGGACGAAAGUCUGACGGAGCAAUGCCGCGUGAGUGAUGAAGGUUUUCGGAUCGUAGAACUCUGUUGUAAGGAAAGAACAAGUACGUUAGUAACUGAACGUACCUUGACGGUACCUUACCAGAAAGCCACGGCUAACUACGUG
RNAcentral lists this ribosomal RNA (499 nucleotides) under uncultured bacterium. Its description in RNAcentral is "partial 16S ribosomal RNA". It matches the Rfam family "Bacterial small subunit ribosomal RNA", at positions 28 to 507 of the family's 1533-position model. The record is from RNAcentral.